Molecule: ribosomal RNA, 476 nt
Filed under: uncultured bacterium
Lineage: Bacteria
Description: partial 16S ribosomal RNA
Rfam family: Bacterial small subunit ribosomal RNA
Source: RNAcentral
GAUGAACGCUGGCGGCGUGCUUAUCACAUGCAAGUCGAGCGAGUGAGUUCUUCGGAACAAUCUAGCGGCGGACGGGUGAGUAACACGUGGGCAACCUGCCUCAUAGAGGGGAAUAGCCUCCCGAAAGGGAGAUUAAUACCGCAUAAAAUUAUCGAGUGGCAUCACAUGAUAAUCAAAGGAGUAAUCCGCUAUGAGAUGGGCCCGCGGCGCAUUAGCUAGUUGGUGAGGUAACGGCUCACCAAGGCGACGAUGCGUAGCCGACCUGAGAGGGUGAUCGGCCACAUUGGGACUGAGACACGGCCCAGACUCCUACGGGAGGCAGCAGUGGGGGAUAUUGCACAAUGGGGGAAACCCUGAUGCAGCAACGCCGCGUGAGUGAUGAAGGUCUUCGGAUUGUAAAGCUCUGUCUUUGGGGACGAUAAUGACGGUACCCAAGGAGGAAGCCACGGCUAACUACGUACCAGCAGCCGCAGUAA